CCUACGGGCGGCUGCAGUGGGGAAUAUUGGGCAAUGGGCGCAAGCCUGACCCAGCAACGCCGCGUGAAGGAAGAAGGCUUUCGGGUUGUAAACUUCUUUUGUCAGGGAAGAGUAGAAGACGGUACCUGACGAAUAAGCCACGGCUAACUACGUGCCAGCAGCCGCGGUAAUACGUAGGUGGCAAGCGUUGUCCGGAUUUCCUGGGUGUAAAGGGCGUGUAGCCGGGUUGACAAGUCAGAUGUGAAAUCCUGCGGCUUAACCGCAGAACUGCAUUUGAAACUGUUGAUCUUGAGUACAGGAGAGGCAGACGGAAUUCCUAGUGUAGCGGUGAAAUGCGUAGAUAUUAGGAGGAACACCAGUGGCGAAGGUGGUCUGCUGGACAGCAACUGACGGUGAGGCGCGAAAGCGUGGGGAGCAAACAGGAUUAGAUACCCCAGUAGUC
RNAcentral lists this ribosomal RNA (442 nucleotides) under uncultured bacterium. RNAcentral's name for it is "partial 16S ribosomal RNA". It matches the Rfam family "Bacterial small subunit ribosomal RNA", at positions 338 to 795 of the family's 1533-position model. The record is from RNAcentral.